RNAcentral lists this unclassified non-coding RNA (425 nucleotides) under soil metagenome. Its description in RNAcentral is "partial contains 5.8S ribosomal RNA, internal transcribed spacer 2, and large subunit ribosomal RNA". The stretch from base 1 to 120 matches the Rfam family "5.8S ribosomal RNA", at positions 35 to 154 of the family's 154-position model. The record is from RNAcentral.
GAUGAAGAACGUAGCGAAAUGCGAUAAGUAGUGUGAAUUGCAGAAUUCCGUGAAUCAUCGAAUCUUUGAACGCACAUUGCGCCUUCUGGUAUUCCGGGAGGCAUGCCUGUUCGAGAGUCAUUAACAACCGUUUCGAUCCCUUUCUUUCAGAAAUUACAAAGAGGAAAAGGGUUUGGUUAUGGUGGAGGAGGGAAAGGGAGCGUUUAGCCUGUAAAAAAAGAGGCUGUGUUCCGCCUCCCCCCCAAAAUUGUACAGGCGGUCGUGUGCGCCCACGCAUCGAGGUGUUGUAAAAGCUGCCACGGCACUUUUCACCUGUGCAGUGCGAGAUUGGCCAGCCGGUUUAAAAACCCCUCCAAACAAUCAAAGGUUGACCUCGGAUCAGGUAGGGAUACCCGCUGAACUUAAGCAUAUCAAUAAGCGGAGGA